Pantherophis guttatus is the source of this 335-nucleotide long non-coding RNA. RefSeq lists it as uncharacterized. The record is from RefSeq and is a predicted model, not a curated record. Lineage: Eukaryota; Metazoa; Chordata; Lepidosauria; Squamata; Colubridae.
AAGCAGCCCUUUCUCAACAUGAAGGUUCUUUACCUUGCUGUGGUUGUCAUGCUGUUGGUUGUUGCUGUCAUGGCUGAUCCAGCAUGCAAAGGACAAAGGUCUUGCCAUUAUUUGGGAGGCACCUGUCAGAAAAGCUGCGGCAAACACCAUAUCGCCGACUUUUCCUGUGACUGCAACGCACGUGGAUUGUACUGCUGCAGGCCUCACAAGAAAGGCUAAAGAAGAGGAUGGCUGAUCCUUCGAGAUGGGGCAAGAGGAGCUCCUUCCAGUUCCUGACUGUUUAGGAGACAUCAUCAUGUCUGCUCCUCUUCAAUAAAGCCACAUCAAUAUCUUGA